Molecule: ribosomal RNA, 1200 nt
Filed under: Aporocotylidae sp. E SC-2022
Lineage: Eukaryota; Metazoa; Platyhelminthes; Trematoda; Strigeidida; Aporocotylidae
Description: partial large subunit ribosomal RNA
Rfam family: Eukaryotic large subunit ribosomal RNA
Source: RNAcentral
UUAAGCAUAUCACUAAGCGGAGGAAAAGAAACUAACCAGGAUUCCCCCAGUAACUGCGAGUGAAGGGGGAUUAGCCCAGCACCGAAGCCUGUGGUUAUUUAACUGCUAGGCAAUGUGGUGUUUAGGUUGGUUCUUAGUUUUACUGCUCUACCCCAAGUCCAGCAAUGAGUACGGCAAACUGGAAUGGCCCACAGAGGGUGAAAGGCCCGUGGGGGUGGAGAUCAGUUGGGACAGUAUUACUCUGAACUUACCUUGGAGUCGGGUUGUUUGUGAAUGCAGCCCAAAGUGGGUGGUAAACUCCAUCCAAGGCUAAAUACUAACACGAGUCCGAUAGCGAACAAGUACCGUGAGGGAAAGUUGAAAAGUACUUUGAAGAGAGAGUAAACAGUGCGUGAAACCGCUCAGAGGUAAACGGGUGGAGUUGAACUGAAAACCCUGGGGAUUCAGCUAAUGAGUAUGGCAUGUGCUUGGACAUAAUGGUCGGCAAUUGGAGUCUGAGUCAAUUUUCAGGUCCUUAUUCUUUGAAUAGGGAUGUGCGGUACGCUUAUCAAGUGUUGUGCGCUCCAAUUUGUCCGGGUCUGCUCGUUAGUGCACUUUCUCAGGGUGAUCACCACGACCGGCGCUGCUGUCUAUCUGUUAUGGUUAAACCGGUCAGAUUUGGCCUUAUUGGCUGUAUUUGGUCGGGACGGCAGGUAACUCAGCUAUUCGAGUUUACUUGAAUUUCUGAGUGUAAUCAGCUGACCAUUGUGGAUUUGUGCGGUGCGUCGGAGAUUGCGGCUGGUAUGUGCGUAGUGCUGUGCAGGCAACUGGAAUGAGUUUGAUCGGCAUGUUUACCGGCUUUGGUUGGUCUGUCGGUGGCUUGCUCCAGUUUGUUUGUCGGUAGCUAUAGAGAUACUUUAUGGGCCUACAGUCUGUGGUGUAGUGGUAGACUAUCCACCCGACCCGUCUUGAAACACGGACCAAGGAGUUUAACAUGUACGCGAGUCAUUGGGCGUUACGAAACCCAUAGGCGUAGUGAAAGUAAAAGGUCGGCUUGUCUGAUCUAAGGUGAGAUCCUGCUGCCUCCUAUUUUUGGAUUACCAAGAAAAAUGGGCGGUGGGCGCAUCACCAGCCCGUCUCAUGGCGUAGUCAUAUGACCUAGUUGUAUGCACCGUCGGGGCGGAGCUAGAGCGUACACGUUGAGACCCGAAAGAUGGUGAA